AAACACCUCCCCCCCCCCCCCCCCCCCCCCCGGCGCUGAGAGCCUGAGAGCCGCUCCCAUUUCCGAGUUUCCGCCGGUUUCCCUGUAGCCGCCGCCUCCUCUCGGUGCCGUCGCCUCUUCAACGACCGACCGGCGGCUCUUCGCGUCCAUCUCCACCGGACGGCAAACCUCCGCGGCUCCGGUCACCGACUCACAGUCACCGGCCAGCAGCUGUGGCCCUGAUGGUUAUCCCUCCGCCUGUUAGGCCACCCAGAAUCAUCAAUUACCUGAAACCUUACGUGCUGAAAAUGCACUUCACAAAUAAAUUCGUGAAUGCCCAAGUGGUCCACAGCCCGACAGCCACAGUAGCUUGCUCUGCAAGCUCACAAGAGAAGUUGCUGAGGCCGAGCAUGGAGUCCACACGAGAUGUUGCAGCAGCUGCUAAGAUCGGAAAGAUUCUGGGUGAGCGACUCCUGCUCAAGGGGAUUCCUGCUGUCUCUGUGUUCUUAAAGAGGGAGCAGAAGUACCAUGGAAAAGUGAAGGCUGUAAUAGAUUCCAUGAGAGAUGCUGGCGUGAAGCUGCUGUGAGUUCAGUUCUAGGUUUAGUCCUUGAUCUUGUUAAAAGAGAGGGAGUUGUUGCUGCAGCAAAGCUAGCGUCUUUUUUGAGGCAAUAACUAUCCAAACGCUUUGCUGUCAGUUCACACUUAAUCACCGGACAUUUGAUCAAUGAAGAUGGAAAAGAUGGAACUUAGCCUGAUCAGGGUGCAUGUUCGCAUGUUUUGUUAUGUCGAAGUGUCACCCUGAAGUGAUGUGAUUCAUAGCUGAAUGCUUGGGUCUUGUUUUACAUGAACAGAAUUAUCCUGUUACAUGGAUGAUAUUGAUCGCUAGCUUAUUGCUGGACUGGUUGAUUGUAUGGCAUCUUGUAUCGGUCUGAACUAUCAGGUCCAUAUGUGGCUAUUAUUCCAUCAUUCUACUUAAAUUCCACUAAUAAUUUGCAUGUUA
Phoenix dactylifera (date palm) is the source of this 980-nucleotide non-coding RNA. The record is from RefSeq and is a predicted model, not a curated record. Lineage: Eukaryota; Viridiplantae; Streptophyta; Magnoliopsida; Arecales; Arecaceae.